CCUACGGGGGGCUGCAGUCGAGAAUCAUUCACAAUGGGGGAAACCCUGAUGGUGCGACGCCGCGUGGGGGAAUGAAGGUCUUCGGAUUGUAAACCCCUGUCAUGUGGGAGCAAAUUAAAAAGAUAGUACCACAAGAGGAAGAGACGGCUAACUCUGUGCCAGCAGCCGCGGUAAUACAGAGGUCUCAAGCGUUGUUCGGAAUCACUGGGCGUAACGCGUGCGUAGGCUGUUUCGUAAGUCGUGUGUGAAAGGCGCGGGCUCAACCCGCGGACGGCACAUGAUACUGCGAGACUAGAGUAAUGGAGGGGGAACCGGAAUUCUCGGUGUAGCAGUGAAAUGCGUAGAUAUCGAGAGGAACACUCGCGGCGAAGGCGGGUUCCUGGACAUUAACUGACGCUGAGGCACGAAGGCCAGGGGAGCGAAAGGGAUUAGAUACCCUUGUAGUC
This 446-nucleotide ribosomal RNA is filed under the name uncultured bacterium. RNAcentral describes it as "partial 16S ribosomal RNA". It matches the Rfam family "Bacterial small subunit ribosomal RNA", at positions 338 to 795 of the family's 1533-position model. The record is from RNAcentral.